Long non-coding RNA from Thunnus maccoyii (southern bluefin tuna), 249 nucleotides. RefSeq lists it as uncharacterized. NCBI's taxonomy places the organism in Eukaryota, Metazoa, Chordata, Actinopteri, Scombriformes, Scombridae. The transcript has 3 exons. The record is from RefSeq and is a predicted model, not a curated record.
CCCUUCCUCCGAUCUCCUGAAUCAUCCCGGCUGUCUUCGUUCAAAGAUCGGCCCGACUUGCUCUUCUUGUCCUCCUGGACGUGACUGAAGAACUCACAAGCCUGCCAGAACAGGAUAUUCUCCUCACUGAACUCUUUCUUUAGGAAUUCCUGCAGCACAAAGAGGUUUCAUUUAAGUCCCUUUCAUAGUUGGAGACCGCUUAUGUGUCCUUGUGAAUGUGCAUUUGCCACCACCCGUCAUGUGCUGUUA